GUGUGGGGUGCAGGGGUGGACGCUCGCUCCGGCUGCCCAGGGACGCUCUCGGGCUCGCCCUCCACAGGGACAGCAGGACGUCGGACUGCGCAUUGCUCAGCAAGCCAGCAGGGCCGCUGGCCUGGAGCUCUGCGCAGUGAGUCACUGCCUGGCGGUCCAGAGAGGGGCUACACGGGCCCUGCGUCCUCCACCUCGUCCCCGGUGCUGCCUAGCAGCUUCUGCCCUCGCCACCCUCCCUGCUGAGGGUACCAGUCAUUGAUUUGGGGUGCACCUGAAACCCACGCUGGCUCCAUCUCAGGGCCCUUAACUGACGACGCCCACGAAGGUCCUGUGUGCACACGGUCACGUCGGCGGUGCCAGGGCCUGACCCCUUAGGGUGCCCAUCCUAGUCUGUGCCCACUGUGCUAGUCCCACUCCGGUCUCUGACACGGGGCCUGCUGAGCGCUGCGGGGACAGGCAGGACCGCCAGGAACAGCCGGUGUGCUCCGGAAACUAGAAAGCACGUCCGGCUUGAAUACAGGAGAGACGUGGUGACCCUGCUUGCUCCUUGGUCCCUGUUCUGGACGGGUGGAGUGUGGCUGAAGAGACCCCGCAAAGCAACCACAGGUGGAGAGAAUACGAAAACCAGGAACGCGGCCAGCGGAGAGGCGAGAGCUGGCCUCCAGCUGCUGCAGGCCUGAAGGCCGAGCGCACCACGCCGAUGUGGGCACGCUGGAAGCAGCUCCCUUAGGAGACGCCGGGUGAGGGGAGGCUCCUAGCCCACACGGACG
Molecule: long non-coding RNA, 770 nt
Organism: Tupaia belangeri chinensis (Chinese tree shrew)
Lineage: Eukaryota; Metazoa; Chordata; Mammalia; Scandentia; Tupaiidae
Exons: 3
Source: RefSeq, a predicted model, not a curated record